AGGAUUAACGCUGGCGGCGUGCCUAACACAUGCAAGUCGAACGAGGUAGCAAUACCUAGUGGCAGACGGGUGAGUAACGCGUGGUCAACCUACCGUUGAGUGGGGGAUAACUAGCCGAAAGGUUAGCUAAUACCGCAUACGAGUUUCGGGGGCAUCCCUGGAUCUUAAAAGGAGCAAUCCGCUCGAUGACGGGACCGCGUCCCAUUAGCUAGAUGGUGGGGUAACGGCCUACCAUGGCACCGAUGGGUAGCUGGUUUGAGAGAGCGACCAGCCACACUGGGACUGAGAAACGGCCCAGACUCCUACGGGAGGCAGCAGUGAGGAAUUUUCCGCAAUGGGCGAAAGCCUGACGGAGCGACGCCGCGUGUGGGAAGAAGGCCUUCGGGUCGUAAACCACUGUCGAAGGGGACGAUAAUGACGGUACCCUUGGAGGAAGCCCCGGCUAACUACGCGCCAGCAGCCGC
Molecule: ribosomal RNA, 464 nt
Filed under: uncultured bacterium
Lineage: Bacteria
Description: SSU rRNA
Rfam family: Bacterial small subunit ribosomal RNA
Source: RNAcentral